This 732-nucleotide ribosomal RNA is filed under the name Acinetobacter baumannii Naval-17. RNAcentral describes it as "bacterial SSU rRNA". It matches the Rfam family "Bacterial small subunit ribosomal RNA", at positions 28 to 754 of the family's 1533-position model. Lineage: Bacteria; Pseudomonadati; Pseudomonadota; Gammaproteobacteria; Moraxellales; Moraxellaceae. The record is from RNAcentral.
AUUGAACGCUGGCGGCAGGCUUAACACAUGCAAGUCGAGCGGGGGAAGGUAGCUUGCUACUGGACCUAGCGGCGGACGGGUGAGUAAUGCUUAGGAAUCUGCCUAUUAGUGGGGGACAACAUCUCGAAAGGGAUGCUAAUACCGCAUACGUCCUACGGGAGAAAGCAGGGGAUCUUCGGACCUUGCGCUAAUAGAUGAGCCUAAGUCGGAUUAGCUAGUUGGUGGGGUAAAGGCCUACCAAGGCGACGAUCUGUAGCGGGUCUGAGAGGAUGAUCCGCCACACUGGGACUGAGACACGGCCCAGACUCCUACGGGAGGCAGCAGUGGGGAAUAUUGGACAAUGGGGGGAACCCUGAUCCAGCCAUGCCGCGUGUGUGAAGAAGGCCUUAUGGUUGUAAAGCACUUUAAGCGAGGAGGAGGCUACUUUAGUUAAUACCUAGAGAUAGUGGACGUUACUCGCAGAAUAAGCACCGGCUAACUCUGUGCCAGCAGCCGCGGUAAUACAGAGGGUGCGAGCGUUAAUCGGAUUUACUGGGCGUAAAGCGUGCGUAGGCGGCUUAUUAAGUCGGAUGUGAAAUCCCCGAGCUUAACUUGGGAAUUGCAUUCGAUACUGGUGAGCUAGAGUAUGGGAGAGGAUGGUAGAAUUCCAGGUGUAGCGGUGAAAUGCGUAGAGAUCUGGAGGAAUACCGAUGGCGAAAGCAGCCAUCUGGCCUAAUACUGACGCUGAGGUAC